GACGAACGCUGGCGGCGUGGAUUAGGCAUGCAAGUCGAACGGUAUCAUCCUUUCGGGGGUGAGAGAGUGGCGAACUGGUGAGUAACACGUAGGUUAUCUACCCUCAAGACGGGGACAACCCAGGGAAACUUGGGCUAAUACCGGAUGUGAGCAACUUUUAGUUGUUUGAAAGGUGGCGUAAGCUGUCGCUUGGGGAUGAGCCUGCGCCCUAUUAGUUAGUUGGUGAGGUAACGGCUCACCUAGGCAAUGAUAGGUAGGCGGCCUUAACGGGUGGUCGCCCACACUGGGAUUGAGAUACGGCCCAGACUCCUACGGGAGGCAGCAGUCGAGAAUAGUCUACAAUGGUCGGAAGACUGAUAGUGCGACGCCGCGUGAACGAUGAAUCCCUUCGGGGUGUAAAGUUCUUUUAUAUGUGAGCAGUGCUUCUUAUAUUAACAGUAUGGGGAAGAGAUAUUAGCAUAUGAAUAAGCAACGGCUAACUCCGUGCCCAGCAGCCGCGGU
RNAcentral lists this ribosomal RNA (501 nucleotides) under uncultured bacterium. Its description in RNAcentral is "bacterial SSU rRNA". It matches the Rfam family "Bacterial small subunit ribosomal RNA", at positions 28 to 521 of the family's 1533-position model. The record is from RNAcentral.